AGCACCCUGUCAAAACGGACCAAUCAGCUCUCUGUAAAAUGGACCAAUCAGCAGGAUGUGGGUGGGGCCAGAUAAGGGAAUAAAAGCAGGGUGCCCAAGCCAGCAGCAGCAGUAAGCCACUCUGGUCAUCUUCUGUAUUGUGGAAGCUAUGAUUUUUGCUCUUAGCGAUAAGUCUUGCUGAUGUUCACUCUUUGGUCCACGCUGUGUUUAUGAGCUGUAACACUGACCCCGAAGGUCUGCAGCUUCACUCCUGAAGUCAGCAAGACCACGAACCCACCAGAAGGAAGAAACUCCGGACAUAUCUGAACAUCUGAAGGAACAAACUCCGGACACGCCAUCUUUAAGAAGUGUAACACUCACUGCGUGGGUGUGCGGCUUCAUUCUUGAAGUCAGCGAGACCAAGAACCCACCAAUUCUGGACACACUAUGACAAAGUUUACCAUCAAAUAACAAUCAAGGGAAUCCCUUUUUCUUUGAUGAAGUGUCUCUUCAUAAUUAUAGAUAACAGGCAUGUGGAAUUUCUAAUAUCAAUGUAAAGAUAGGUCAUUGGCAGGUUCUAAAAGCAUUUUUUGGGUAGGAUGGAUGUCUCAAGCAAAGAGUUGGGAAAUGACAAACAGAAAUUGGAAUAUGGCCAAAGGAUACUGUUAAAAAAAAGAAAGGAUAAAAAUCGAUUGCUUAGCAGAAAAGUUGUACUGUUAAGAAGUGAAGUUUGUCAGCACGGAGUCUUUGUUCUGCUGAUGAGAUGAAGAGGGGAAGAUGAAGAAAAAGCAUAUUAGGAAAGCAAAGUCUUCAGCUGGCUUGAGAUAUGUGGGUCUGCCAGUCAGUUGAGCCUGACUUGGCUCUGGUAACCACCUCAGGAUAAUGAAGUUGAGCUGCUUCUGUAUGUGACUCACUUGAGUCUUUCUUAAUUGUCCAGUAAGGUCUUCAUCAUGUUAGCAAGCUGAGUGGCAAAGAAAAGGGAACAGUGGGCUGUUUUUCAUUCUUUCCUUCAACAAUUAUUUGUUGAGUUCCUACUGUAUACCUCCUAGGAUAGGGGAAAGGGAUUCAAUAGAGAUGUAAACUCUUAAAUGGAGUUUAAGACCUGCUAGUUAUAUGGAGAUUGAUUGAAUAAACAUUUUAAUGAUUCUAUAGUUAACUGCCAAGGUUAAGAAAGACAAAACUCUGUGAGACUAUAUACUAAAACAAUACUACUCGCAAGUUGGGGGACAAAGACAGAAUGCAGGUUAGUGAAGGCUUCCCAAAAAGAGUAACACUUGAGCUGAGGCCAUAAACAGUAGUUUUCUGAAAGAAGGCGGCUUGGUGAGAAAGAAAAACAGUCUAAGCAACCAGAACAUACGAAAAUUCAUUAGGAGAACAGAUACAAGGGAAAGACUAGUAGCAGUUGCAACAUUGUAGCCAUGGAGAGGUUAAAUCUCUGUAUCAGGCAUUAUUUGAAACAAGUUCAUCUUUAGAUGGAGGACACUAACAUCAUGCUAUUCUGGUCAUUACUUUCUAGGUUAUCAACUGUGCUUCUCAUUUUUUCUUGCAUAUCUGUCUUUACUUCAUUCCUUGAAUUUGAAGCACAGUAUUUUCUCCAGGAUGUCUUCUUAGUCAAAACUCAUAAACUAGAACAUUGAGGAGAGUAAGAAGAAUAGUCUAUUGAAGAUGGGAGAAGGUUGGAAAACAGUAAGAGGUAGAAAAAAGCCUGAUACUAGAUAGUGACAGAUUUUGGAAACUGGAACAGGAAAUUUGGACGUGAAAUUAUGGCAAUUAUAUUUUUUUCUCUAAAGGAGUGAAAAGAUAAAAGUAAUUUUUUAGGAAGUUCAUCUGAGUUUGAUACAAAGGAUUUAUUUACUUAAAAAAAUUGUAGUUCCUACAGUAAGGCAAACACUGAAUUAUCUUGUAAUGCUCAUUGGAAUAGCUAAGCAUUGAUUCUUAAUAUGUGGGCUGCAAACUAUGUAUUCCAGAUUACCCUGGAAAGUUUGUUGAAAUGAAGAUUCUGGGGCCCUAAUCUAAGUUUACUGAAUUAAAAUCUCUCAGAUGGAGCCUGAAACUCCACAAUUUAACAAGCGCCCCAGGUGAUUUGUGCCCAACAAAGAUAAAAAAUGAAUGGGUUGAAACUCAAGCAAAAGACAAUGAAGUUGGAGCAGCCAGCUGGACUGCUGUUUGAGUAAUCCAGUUGAUUACAACACACAGACUACAAUGGUUACCAUGGAGAUUCAAGGGCAAGGGUAAACCUGAGAACUAUUUCAAAGGAAACAUCAUAAAGAGGUAAAAGACUGGAUUUCAGAAAUGGAAGAGAGAAAAGAGACCAGGAGAACUAGGAUUGCUGCCUCCUGAGAGUCAGUUAGUGACCAAGAGUACUCAUUAGGCCUCUAGAUAUCAGGGAUAUUCUUGGCAGUGAGAGCAGAGAGAACAAAGCUAAAGGUGCUGAAGUAAGGUGACAGCGCUUUAAAGAAGAAGAAAAAAAAAAAGGAAAAAGAAAGAUAGCUACCAAGAAAAAAAGUGACCUGGUCUACAAAGAUGAAGAAACUGUCGAUUAGGGUGGAAUAAACUUAUCAUGCAAGAAGUUGGCAUAGAUACUCGUCUCACCUUAAAGGUGCUUUAAAAAUAAAGUGGGGUCAGGCAAGGCAGAUAGGUGGCAUAGCAGUUAAGCUCAAGCAGAGAUAAUGAACAGAAAUACCAGAGGAAUUAGGAUUAAAAGCAAUAAAGUCUUGAAUAUUGGCGAGAAAAGAUGAAGAAGAGAGUGUAUAAGGAGGAGUUCUCACUCCAAACAACAGUGGCAUGCGAAACCCAAGAGAUCAGACCUUGAAAGCUAUGCACUAAUAGGUUAUUUAGUUUUCAAAAUCUUAAAUUAAUAACAAUUGGCAAUAAAGCUCAUUAAAAUUC
This 2868-nucleotide long non-coding RNA is filed under the name Homo sapiens (human). RNAcentral's name for it is "HSALNT0293208". The record is from RNAcentral. Lineage: Eukaryota; Metazoa; Chordata; Mammalia; Primates; Hominidae.